This 602-nucleotide ribosomal RNA is filed under the name uncultured bacterium. Its description in RNAcentral is "bacterial SSU rRNA". It matches the Rfam family "Bacterial small subunit ribosomal RNA", at positions 56 to 674 of the family's 1533-position model. The record is from RNAcentral.
UGCAAGUCGAACGGUGAAGAGGAGCUUGCUCCUCGGAACAGUGGCGGACGGGUGAGUAACACGUGAGCAACUUGGCUCUAAGAGGGGGACAACAGUUGGAAACGACUGCUAAUACCGCAUAACGUAUCGGGAUGGCAUCUUCCUGAUACCAAAGAUUUUAUCGCUUAGAGAUGGGCUCGCGUCUGAUUAGAUAGUUGGCGGGGUAACGGCCCACCAAGUCGACGAUCAGUAGCCGGACUGAGAGGUUGAACGGCCACAUUGGGACUGAGACACGGCCCAGACUCCUACGGGAGGCAGCAGUGGGGGAUAUUGGACAAUGGGGGCAACCCUGAUCCAGCGACGCCGCGUGAGGGAAGAAGGUUUUCGGAUUGUAAACCUCUGUUGACGGAGAAAAAAAUGAUGGUAUCCGUUUAGAAAGCCACGGCUAACUACGUGCCAGCAGCCGCGGUAAUACGUAGGUGGCAAGCGUUGUCCGGAAUUACUGGGUGUAAAGGGAGUGUAGGCGGGAUAUCAAGUCAGAAGUGAAAAUUACGGGCUCAACUCGUAACCUGCUUUUGAAACUGACAUUCUUGAGUGAAGUAGAGGCAAGCGGAAUUCCUAGU